RNAcentral lists this long non-coding RNA (307 nucleotides) under Rhinopithecus bieti (black snub-nosed monkey). Its description in RNAcentral is "lncRNA (ENSRBIG00000045392.1)". Lineage: Eukaryota; Metazoa; Chordata; Mammalia; Primates; Cercopithecidae. The record is from RNAcentral.
GAAGUAUUCUCCUAUUGGGGGCUGGCUAGGAGACAGGGGAGUCUGAACAUUCUGAGGGAGGCGCAGGAUUCUAGAGGCUCCGAGUCUUUCCUGGAAUCUUUUAUGUGAGGUACCCCCAGAGAGAGGAGCAGCCUUCUCACCCUGGCCUCUGCAGCCAGACUUACCUCUCACCAGGACACAUGGCCUCGGCUCCCAUUGCCCCAUCCUCCACCAGGCAUUCUCUCUUGGUGUAAGGAAAACCAGUUUACUCCACGCUGAACUGACCCUGAAGGUUCUUUGUUCUUGACCUCCACAUACCAUGUGGAAC